RNAcentral lists this ribosomal RNA (253 nucleotides) under uncultured bacterium. Its description in RNAcentral is "partial 16S ribosomal RNA". It matches the Rfam family "Bacterial small subunit ribosomal RNA", at positions 524 to 776 of the family's 1533-position model. The record is from RNAcentral.
UACGUAGGUGGCAAGCGUUAUCCGGAAUUAUUGGGCGUAAAGAGCGCGCAGGUGGUUAAUUAAGUCUGAUGUGAAAGCCCACGGCUUAACCGUGGAGGGUCAUUGGAAACUGGCAGUCUUGAGUACAGUAGAGGUGGGCGGAAUUCGUGGUGUAGCGGUGAAAUGCUUAGAUAUCACGAAGAACUCCGAUUGCGAAGGCAGCUCACUGGACUGCAACUGACACUGAGGCUCGAAAGUGUGGGUAUCAAACAGG